CGAAGAACCUUACCUGGUCUUGACAUAGUAAGAACUUUCCAGAGAUGGAUUGGUGCCUUCGGGAACUUACAUACAGGUGCUGCAUGGCUGUCGUCAGCUCGUGUCGUGAGGUGUUGGGUUAAGUCCCGCAACGAGCGCAACCCUUUUCCUUAUUUGCCAGCGGGUUAAGCCGGGAACUUUAAGGAUACUGCCAGUGACAAACUGGAGGAAGGCGGGGACGACGUCAAGUCAUCAUGGCCCUUACGACCAGGGCUACACACGUGCUACAAUGGUCGGUACAAAGGGUUGCUACCUAGCGAUAGGAUGCUAAUCUCAAAAAGCCGAUCGUAGUCCGGAUUGGAGUCUGCAACUCGACUCCAUGAAGUCGGAAUCGCUAGUAAUCGCGGAUCAGAAUGCCGCGGUGAAUACGUUCCCGGGCCUUGUACACACCGCCCGUCACACCAUGGGAAUUUGUUGCACCAGAAGUAGGUAGUCUAACCGCAAGGAGGACGCUUACCACGGUGUGGCCGAUGACUGGGGUGAAGUCGUAACAAGGUAAGCGUAGAUGA
This 548-nucleotide ribosomal RNA is filed under the name uncultured bacterium. Its description in RNAcentral is "bacterial SSU rRNA". It matches the Rfam family "Bacterial small subunit ribosomal RNA", at positions 962 to 1509 of the family's 1533-position model. The record is from RNAcentral.